AAAUUGAAGAGUUUGAUCAUGGCUCAGAUUGAACGCUGGCGGCAGGCCUAACACAUGCAAGUCGAACGGUAACAGGAAGAAGCUUGCUUCUUUGCUGACGAGUGGCGGACGGGUGAGUAAUGUCUGGGAAACUGCCUGAUGGAGGGGGGAUAACUACUGGAAACGGUAGCUAAUACCGCAUAACGUCGCAAGACCAAAGAGGGGGACCUUCGGGCCUCUUGCCAUCGGAUGUGCCCAGAUGGGAUUAGCUAGUAGGUGGGGUAACGGCUCACCUAGGCGACGAUCCCUAGCUGGUCUGAGAGGAUGACCAGCCACACUGGAACUGAGACACGGUCCAGACUCCUACGGGAGGCAGCAGUGGGGAAUAUUGCACAAUGGGCGCAAGCCUGAUGCAGCCAUGCCGCGUGUAUGAAGAAGGCCUUCGGGUUGUAAAGUACUUUCAGCGGGGAGGAAGGGAGUAAAGUUAAUACCUUUGCUCAUUGACGUUACCCGCAGAAGAAGCACCGGCUAACUCCGUGCCAGCAGCCGCGGUAAUACGGAGGGUGCAAGCGUUAAUCGGAAUUACUGGGCGUAAAGCGCACGCAGGCGGUUUGUUAAGUCAGAUGUGAAAUCCCCGGGCUCAACCCGGGAACUGCAUCUGAUACUGGCAAGCUUGAGUCUCGUAGAGGGGGGUAGAAUUCCGGUGUAGCGGUGAAAUGCGUAGAGAUCUGGAGGAAUACCGGUGGCGAAGGCGGCCCCUGGACGAAGACUGACGCUCAGGUGCGAAAGCGUGGGGAGCAAACAGGAUUAGAUACCCUGGUAGUCCACGCCGUAAACGAUGUCGACUUGGAGGUUGUGCCCUUGAGGCGUGGCUUCCGGAGCUAACGCGUUAAGUCGACCGCCUGGGGAGUACGGCCGCAAGGUUAAAACUCAAAUGAAUUGACGGGGGCCCGCACAAGCGGUGGAGCAUGUGGUUUAAUUCGAUGCAACGCGAAGAACCUUACCUGGUCUUGACAUCCACGGAAGUUUUCAGAGAUGAGAAUGUGCCUUCGGGAACCGUGAGACAGGUGCUGCAUGGCUGUCGUCAGCUCGUGUUGUGAAAUGUUGGGUUAAGUCCCGCAACGAGCGCAACCCUUAUCCUUUGUUGCCAGCGGUCCGGCCGGGAACUCAAAGGAGACUGCCAGUGAUAAACUGGAGGAAGGUGGGGAUGACGUCAAGUCAUCAUGGCCCUUACGACCAGGGCUACACACGUGCUACAAUGGCGCAUACAAAGAGAAGCGACCUCGCGAGAGCAAGCGGACCUCAUAAAGUGCGUCGUAGUCCGGAUUGGAGUCUGCAACUCGACUCCAUGAAGUCGGAAUCGCUAGUAAUCGUGGAUCAGAAUGCCACGGUGAAUACGUUCCCGGGCCUUGUACACACCGCCCGUCACACCAUGGGAGUGGGUUGCAAAAGAAGUAGGUAGCUUAACCUUCGGGAGGGCGCUUACCACUUUGUGAUUCAUGACUGGGGUGAAGUCGUAACAAGGUAACCGUAGGGGAACCUGCGGUUGGAUCACCUCCUUA
RNAcentral lists this ribosomal RNA (1541 nucleotides) under Escherichia coli. Its description in RNAcentral is "bacterial SSU rRNA". It matches the Rfam family "Bacterial small subunit ribosomal RNA". The record is from RNAcentral. Lineage: Bacteria; Pseudomonadati; Pseudomonadota; Gammaproteobacteria; Enterobacterales; Enterobacteriaceae.